CACAGAUCGCUUGCUCAAGAAUUUCAGCGCUAUAGCAAUAAGUUCAAUUUCCAUUACUUUUUCACUUUUAUGCUAAAAGUGCGAUUGCGCAAGGCAGAAAAGUGGAACCGCGCCAAUCGCAGACUCUGAUCGAUUCAUACCGACUGACGUUACAAGAUUUUUUUUAUUACCCACUUAUGAUUCGAGCUAUCGAGCUGUCUGUUUUUAUGUAAUUUUUAGCGUAAUGUAUUGUAAAUGCCAACCGGAAAUGAAACUUUAGGCUUCCCCGAUAUUCCAUCACUCUGUUCUUUACCACCAGCUUUAUUGGAACGAAGCACAGCUCCAGGACUCGGAUAAGGUCUCAUCUGAUACAGAGGUCCAGAAGCAGUAGUAUCAACACCAGUCUUUGCUUCGUUUUGUCUGGCCAAUCCAUCUGACCAUUUGCCACGAGGUCUGUCGCGAUGUCGUCUAUCAGUACCACUUCGUGAACGAUCUCGGUCUCGAUCGCGUUCGCGAUCUUUUUCUUCUCGACUGUCCUUUCGUUCGCGUUUGGCGUCUGGCUCAUUUAUCUGUAA
Long non-coding RNA from Phymastichus coffea, 554 nucleotides. RefSeq lists it as uncharacterized. The record is from RefSeq and is a predicted model, not a curated record. NCBI's taxonomy places the organism in Eukaryota, Metazoa, Arthropoda, Insecta, Hymenoptera, Eulophidae. The transcript is spliced from 3 exons.